UGGGGAAUUUUGCACAAUGGGGGAAACCCUGAUGCAGCGACGCCGCGUGAUUUAGAAGGCCUUCGGGUUGUAAAAAUCUUUUGUAUAGGAAGAAAAUGACAGUACUAUACGAAUAAGGACCGGCUAAUUACGUGCCAGCAGCCGCGGUAAUACGUAAGGUCCGAGCGUUGUCCGGAAUCAUUGGGCGUAAAGGGUACGUAGGCGGGUAAGCAAGUUAGAAGUGAAAUCCUAUAGCUCAACUAUAGUAAGCUUUUAAAACUGCUCAUCUUGAGGUAUGGAAGGGAAAGUGGAAUUCCUAGUGUAGCGGUGAAAUGCGUAUAUAUAUGGAGGAACACCAGUGGCGAAGGCGACUCUCUGGUCUGUAACUGACGCUGAGGUUCGAAAGCGUGGGUAGCAAACAGG
Molecule: ribosomal RNA, 402 nt
Filed under: Bacteroidota bacterium
Lineage: Bacteria; Pseudomonadati; Bacteroidota
Description: Bacteroidetes bacterium partial 16S ribosomal RNA
Rfam family: Bacterial small subunit ribosomal RNA
Source: RNAcentral